AGUGAUCAUCUCAGACACGACCGAUGCUUUCUGAACGCAAGCUCACACUCAUCGAGACUCUUCAUUAACACGAGCUCAAGAACAACACGAAGCACAAGAUAGUGAAGAGUGAACUGAGACUUGUUAAGCAGAUUCUAAACAAGCGCUCUAAUCAACUUCUAAACAGGAUGAGAUCUGUGUUUCUCCUUGUGCUCCUCGUGACUCUGGUGUUCAGUGAAGGACUGAAUAACGUCACUUUCAGCAACAAUCAACCUGAAAUGCUUCCAGUUCCAGCACAGAACACCGAAGAACUGAGACUCGUUGAGACUAUAUCAACAUCUAAACAGGAUGAGAUCGGCGCUUCUCCUCGUGCUCUUUCUCACGCUCAGUGAUGGAUCGAGUAACGUCAGCGUCAGCGACACUGAACCGGACGUGUUUUCGAACCCUUUUUCUAUCCGGGUAGGCCUACAACCCUGCGAGAUAUCUCGCGAUAACAACGGAUACAACAGGUUUAGACACAGGCACGUGCUCUCGCGUAGUUUCGACACCAGACGGGCACAAGAGUGGGAAAAUUACCUAAUGACAAAGAAUCUGUGUGGCAGAGAACUUGUGCAAUCCUUCCUCCCUAAAAGCGACGACGAAAGCGUUGUGAGAAUCUGCAACGGACGAGGCAACAGAGACACGGGAAACCAGUGCAUCAGUAUGAGAAAGUUCAAGGUGCACAUUGUUCGAAGUGCUCUCAGAGAUGGACAAUGUGUAGUUCGGUCUCCAGUCGAGUCUGUGGAGCGUUAUGUGACUGUGUCGUGUGAGGUCCUUCAAAACCAAUGUUUGCCUGUUCACUACGUGAGACAAACCAGAUUUAGACCAUCCCCACCCGGGCCGACCUGCACACCUCGGACAGUUUAGCAGAUGUUAAGGCACGUGCGCUUCAAUGUACACUGUAAAAAAAUAUUGAUGGUUUAACUUAAAAUUUUAAGGCAACCAGGUUACUUACUUUUUUAA
Pimephales promelas (fathead minnow) is the source of this 981-nucleotide non-coding RNA. The record is from RefSeq and is a predicted model, not a curated record. NCBI's taxonomy places the organism in Eukaryota, Metazoa, Chordata, Actinopteri, Cypriniformes, Leuciscidae.